UCUGGUGAUAGUAGCGCUGUGGCACCACCUCUUCCCAUACCGAACAGAGAAGUGAAACGCAGCAGCGCCGACGAUACUUGCCGGGAAGCUGGCUGGGAAAAUAGGUCAUUGCCAGAA
This 117-nucleotide ribosomal RNA is filed under the name Candidatus Dojkabacteria bacterium. The record is from RNAcentral.